Molecule: transfer RNA, 68 nt
Filed under: Polycarpa mytiligera
Lineage: Eukaryota; Metazoa; Chordata; Ascidiacea; Stolidobranchia; Styelidae
Description: transfer RNA-Leu(UUR)
Source: RNAcentral
ACCAAUAUGGCAGAGGAGUAUGCGAAAGUUCUAAGAUCUUUUUACGAUUUUAAAAAAAUCUAUUGGUU